RNAcentral lists this non-coding RNA (45 nucleotides) under Schistosoma mattheei. The record is from RNAcentral. Lineage: Eukaryota; Metazoa; Platyhelminthes; Trematoda; Strigeidida; Schistosomatidae.
AUCCAGUUGACGAGUCCUAAAUAGGACGAAACGUGCGUUAUAGAU